AUUGAACGCUGGCGGAAUGCUUUACACAUGCAAGUCGAACGGCAGCACGGGGGCAGCCCUGGUGGCGAGUGGCGAACGGGUGAGUAAUACAUCGGAACGUGCCCGGUCGUGGGGGAUAACGUAGCGAAAGUUACGCUAAUACCGCAUACGAUCUGAGGAUGAAAGCGGGGGACCUUCGGUCCUCGCGCGAUCGGAGCGGCCGAUGUCAGAUUAGGUAGUUGGUGGGGUAAAGGCCUACCAAGCCGACGAUCUGUAGCUGGUCUGAGAGGAAGACCAGCCACACUGGGACUGAGACACGGCCCAGACUCCUACGGGAGGCAGCAGUGGGGAAUUUUGGACAAUGGGCGCAAGCCUGAUCCAGCCAUUCCGCGUGCAGGACGAAGGCCUUCGGGUUGUAAACUGCUUUUGUACGGAACGAAAAGGCUCUGGCUAAUACCUGGGGCUCAUGACGGUACCGUAAGAAUAAGCACCGGCUAACUACGUG
This 484-nucleotide ribosomal RNA is filed under the name uncultured bacterium. RNAcentral describes it as "partial 16S ribosomal RNA". It matches the Rfam family "Bacterial small subunit ribosomal RNA", at positions 30 to 507 of the family's 1533-position model. The record is from RNAcentral.